Non-coding RNA from Triticum aestivum (bread wheat), 135 nucleotides. NCBI's taxonomy places the organism in Eukaryota, Viridiplantae, Streptophyta, Magnoliopsida, Poales, Poaceae. The record is from Rfam.
AAAGUACUCCCUCCGUCCCAAAAUUCUUGUCUUAGAUUUGUCUAGAUACGGAUGUAUCAAGUUACAUUUUAGUACUAGAUACAUCCGUAUCUAGACAAAUAUAAGACAAGAAAUUUGGGACAGAGGGAGUAGUUG